This 369-nucleotide ribosomal RNA is filed under the name uncultured bacterium. Its description in RNAcentral is "bacterial SSU rRNA". It matches the Rfam family "Bacterial small subunit ribosomal RNA", at positions 32 to 412 of the family's 1533-position model. The record is from RNAcentral.
AAUCAACGCUGGCGGCGUGCCUAACACAUGCAAGUCGAACGAGAAAGUGGAGCAAUCCAUGAGUACAGUGGCGUACGGGUGAGUAACACGUGACUACCUACCCUCGAGUGGGGAAUAACCUCGGGAAACCGGGGCUAAUACCGCAUAACAUCUACGGAUCAAAUGCGAAAGCAGCUUGAGGAGGGGGUCGCGGCCGAUUAGCUAGUUGGUGAGGUAAUGGCUCACCAAGGCAAUGAUCGGUAGCCGGCCUGAGAGGGCGCACGGCCACACUGGAAUUGAAACACGGUCCAGACUCCUACGGGAGGCAGCAGUGGGGAAUUUUGCGCAAUGGGGGAAACCCUGACGCAGCAACGCCGCGUGGAGGAUGAA